This 83-nucleotide non-coding RNA is filed under the name Desulfobotulus alkaliphilus. Lineage: Bacteria; Pseudomonadati; Thermodesulfobacteriota; Desulfobacteria; Desulfobacterales; Desulfobacteraceae. The record is from RNAcentral.
AGGAGCUGUGUACGAGGCCCGUAAGCACGGUUCUGUGAGAGAGAUUUUGCGGAGAGGAUCACUCUGCACUACAACUACUCGAU